AUCUAAUUAGUUGUGCCGUGUGUAAGUAUUUGAUACAUACAUAGAUGUGUAUGAAAUUAUGAAAGAAAAGUCACAUGCAUAACCUCUGCAAAAUAAUACUGUCAGUGUAAGUGUCGGUGAUAAGAAAAGAUAAAUACAAAUAAUAGAAUGGUGCAGUGUUGCGUUCCAAAGUGUAAGAACAGGUCCGAUAGCCAAAAUUGGAAAAAAACCAGCAAUGUGGACAAAAAUCGAAAAAUUACAUUUCACAGCAUUCCAAAAAAUAAUACCAGCCGCAAUUUGUGGACCGAUAUCUUAAAUCUUCCACCACAUAUUCCAAAAAGUGCACAUAUUUGCUCUGAUCAUUUUUCAAAGGAAUCUUUCGAUCAAACGGAUUAUUAACGCGAUUAAGGCCAAAUGUUUUGCCAUUGAAUGAAUGUGAAAAGCAUAUAGAAACGGAAAAAAGAAAGAAUGAUUCCUUCAUUGUAUGCCCACAAUCAUCAACAACAGAUAAAGAAACAAUGACAUCGAUACAACCAUGUACAGCAGAGAAAGCAACAAUGGUAUCAUUUAAAAGAAUUCAUAAUUCUCUAGAAAAUGUCGA
Molecule: long non-coding RNA, 580 nt
Filed under: Harpegnathos saltator (Jerdon's jumping ant)
Lineage: Eukaryota; Metazoa; Arthropoda; Insecta; Hymenoptera; Formicidae
Description: uncharacterized LOC105180993
Source: RNAcentral